GAUGAAGAACGUAGCGAAAUGCGAUAAGUAAUGUGAAUUGCAGAAUUCAGUGAAUCAUCGAAUCUUUGAACGCACCUUGCACCCUUUGGCAUUCUGAAGGGUAUGCUCGUUUGAGUGUCAUUGUACUCUCACACUCCCGAUCUUUGCAUUGGGAGCAGUGGACUUGGGUUUGCUGCUUCACCGUCGCUUACCUCAAAUAGGUUAGUGCAACUCUCGGUUGGACAUAGUACGGCGUGAUAAGUGUUCUUCGCCGGUGCCUCGCAAAGAGGGUGGCCGAUCGGGAUGUUGUGCUCCAAACCGUCUUCGGACAAUCUCUGACGACUUGACCUCAAAUCGAGUAAGACUACCCGCUGAACUUAAGCAUAUCAAUAAGCGGAGGA
RNAcentral lists this unclassified non-coding RNA (380 nucleotides) under soil metagenome. Its description in RNAcentral is "partial contains 5.8S ribosomal RNA, internal transcribed spacer 2, and large subunit ribosomal RNA". The stretch from base 1 to 120 matches the Rfam family "5.8S ribosomal RNA", at positions 35 to 154 of the family's 154-position model. The record is from RNAcentral.